AGGGAAUCUUCGGCAAUGGACGAAAGUCUGACCGAGCAACGCCGCGUGAGUGAAGAAGGUUUUCGGAUCGUAAAACUCUGUUGUUAGAGAAGAAUAAGGAUGAGAGUAAAAAGUUCAUCCCUUGACGGUAUCUAACCAGAAAGCCACGGCUAACUACGUGCCAGCAGCCGCGGUAAUACGUAGGUGGCAAGCGUUGUCCGGAUUUAUUGGGCGUAAAGCGAGCGCAGGCGGUUUCUUAAGUCUGAUGUGAAAGCCCCCGGCUUAACCGGGGAGGGUCAUUGGAAACUGAGGAACUUGAGUGCAGAAGAGGAGAGUGGAAUUCCAUGUGUAGCGGUGAAAUGCGUAGAUAUAUGGAGGAACACCAGUGGCGAAGGCGACUCUCUGGUCUGUAACUGACGCUGAGGCUCGAAAGCGUGGGGAGCAAAC
RNAcentral lists this ribosomal RNA (426 nucleotides) under uncultured bacterium. RNAcentral describes it as "bacterial SSU rRNA". It matches the Rfam family "Bacterial small subunit ribosomal RNA", at positions 356 to 773 of the family's 1533-position model. The record is from RNAcentral.